This 460-nucleotide ribosomal RNA is filed under the name uncultured bacterium. RNAcentral's name for it is "partial 16S ribosomal RNA". It matches the Rfam family "Bacterial small subunit ribosomal RNA", at positions 338 to 795 of the family's 1533-position model. The record is from RNAcentral.
CCUACGGGUGGCAGCAGUGAGGAAUAUUGGUCAAUGGACGGAAGUCUGAACCAGCCAUGCCGCGUGCAGGAAGACGGCUCUAUGAGUUGUAAACUGCUUUUGUACAAGGGUAAACCUGCAUACGUGUAUUCAGCUGACAGUACUGUACGAAUAAGGAUCGGCUAAAUCCGGGCAAGCAGCCGCGGUAAUACGGAGGAUCCAAGCGUUAUCAGGAUUUAUUGGGUUUAAAGGGUGCGUAGGUGGAUUGAUAAGUUAGAUGUGAAAUGUCCGAGCUUAACUGGGGAACUGCCUUUAAUACUGUUGAUCUAGAGAGUAGGUGCGGUAGGCGGAAUGUAUGGUGUAGCGGUGAAAUGCUUAGAGAUCAUACAGAACACCGAUUGCGAAGGCAGCUUACCAAUCUAUAACUGACGUUGAGGCACGAAAGCGUGGGGAGCAAACAGGAUUAGAUACCCCUGUAGUC